Molecule: ribosomal RNA, 496 nt
Filed under: uncultured bacterium
Lineage: Bacteria
Description: partial 16S ribosomal RNA
Rfam family: Bacterial small subunit ribosomal RNA
Source: RNAcentral
GAUGAACGCUGGCGGCGUGCCUAAUACAUGCAAGUCGAGCGAACAGAUAAGGAGCUUGCUCCUUUGACGUUAGCGGCGGACGGGUGAGUAACACGUGGGUAACCUACCUAUAAGACUGGAAUAACUCCGGGAAACCGGGGCUAAUGCAGGAUAACAUGUUGAACCGCAUGGUUCUACAGUGAAAGGCGGCUUUGCUGUCACUUAUAGAUGGACCCGCGCCGUAUUAGCUAGUUGGUGAGGUAACGGCUCACCAAGGCAACGAUACGUAGCCGACCUGAGAGGGUGAUCGGCCACACUGGAACUGAGACACGGUCCAGACUCCUACGGGAGGCAGCAGUAGGGAAUCUUCCGCAAUGGGCGAAAGCCUGACGGAGCAACGCCGCGUGAGUGAUGAAGGUCUUCGGAUCGUAAAACUCUGUUAUUAGGGAAGAACAAAUGCGUAAGUAACUGUGCGCGUCUUGACGGUACCUAAGCAGAAAGCCACGGCUAACUACGU